GGUGUUUAUAGCUGCUCCAUUGUCGACAAGCACUUUUGCCACUGGGACGUCAUUAACUAUAGCUUUAACGUAUAAUGGCCUCAGGUGUUUUGUCAACUUCAUGGCUGGCCGUUUAAAAACAACCUUUUCGGCAGCCUCUAUUUCUACCUCUUGCUUGUUUUCUGUCGAAUUAUCCCCUUGUGAUAGGUCGACGUGCAGUAUGCCUGUCUCCUGAAUUUCCUUCUUACUUUUUUCUAAUGCUUCCUCAUCAGUUAUCCAACCUGUGGGAGGGGGCAUUAUUUUUGGAGGUGACCCAUACUUCUCAGAGCGAAGCACUCUCUUCUUCCUUUUGGGUGUCCCGUACAGUACGUAGAAAUCAAAAGGACGCCCAGAUGGCUCCCCCAAUAAGUCUACUUCGCAAACUCCCUCUUGAUGUAGUUGCUUAAACAGAGUAUUGCGCGAUACUCCUCUCUUUUUCCUUUCUGCUUCUAGGUCGAUUUCUUCUUCAAUGUCUGUCAUCCCAUCGUCCUCUUCAUCGUUGUAGGCCUCUCCAGAAGUCUGACCUUCUUCACAUAUCAGCACACAGGUUUCUCCUUCGUUGUCCUCCCUCUCUUCUUCCUUUUCCUUAUUCUUGAACUCAGUGGCCAGUAGGUAAUUAUUGGCCACGACAGGAGGCAACGUACCGAAUUGGAUAGCAAAGGGCUGAUCUGGAUCUUCUUCAUCCCUUUUGUCCCUCUCAAACCUUGAUCUCCCAGAAGAGGUUUCUGGCAGUUCUUUCAUUGAUUCAUCUGUACCAGUCUCUUUAUUACCUUUGAGGACGUUUUGAUUGGCUACCUUGAGUAGUAGAGGUGUUUUAGGGUGUGGCAUUCCUUGUUGCUGCCUCAUCAUCCGUCCGUAGUUUCGCUGGAAACACCUUUGUUGAGUCCUAGUCAUCUCAUCGAAGGGUAUUGCUCUUCCUGCGCUGUACUGGAAAGAGUGCCAUGCAUUUGGCCGGCGAGGUUGCGGCCUAAAUGUUCUUCCAGUAUCUGCUGAUCUGAACUGCCUUUCAAAAGGCGGUCCUCUAUAGAAU
RNAcentral lists this long non-coding RNA (1048 nucleotides) under Olea europaea subsp. europaea. Lineage: Eukaryota; Viridiplantae; Streptophyta; Magnoliopsida; Lamiales; Oleaceae. The record is from RNAcentral.